GUGAACGCUGGCGGUAGGCCUCACACCUGCAAGUCGAACGGCAGCACAGUAAGAGCUUGCUCUUACGGGUGGCGAGUGGCGGACGGGUGAGGAAUACAUCGGAAUCUACUUUUUCGUGGGGGAUAACGUAGGGAAACUUACGCUAAUACCGCAUACGACCUACGGGUGUAAGCCGGUGAUCUUCGGACCUUGUGCGAUUGAAUGAGCCGAUGUCGGAUUAGCUAGUUGGCGGGGUAAAGGCCCACCAAGGCGACGAUCCGUAGCUGGACUGAGAGGAUGAUCAGCCACACUGGAACUGAGACACGGUCCAGACUCUUACGGGAGGCAGCAGUGGGGAAUAUUGGACAAUGGGCGCAAGCCUGAUCCAGCCAUACCGCGUGGGUGAAGAAGGCCUUCGGGUUGUAAAGCCCUUUUGUUGGGAAAGAAAAGCAGCAGGUUAAUACCCCGCUGUUCUGACGGUACCCAAAGAAUAAGCACCGGCUAACUUCGUG
Molecule: ribosomal RNA, 491 nt
Filed under: uncultured bacterium
Lineage: Bacteria
Description: partial 16S ribosomal RNA
Rfam family: Bacterial small subunit ribosomal RNA
Source: RNAcentral